GAGCCGCGAGGCCGCGUCUUUUUGGCGAGCGAAUAAUUCGGUGCGCGAAUUAUUCGCGAAUUCGUAUUUUUACCCAAAAAUACGCGUUUUUUUUCUGAAUUUUUCGAAAAAAUACGAAUUCGUCCGUUUAAUUCGUUUUUCCAAAAAUUCGCGAAUAAUUCGCGAAUAAUUCGCGAAUUAACUAACUAUGGUCUCGGCUGAGCCAGGGUUUGAAAGAUAAGGUGAUAGACUCUGUCGGAGUCUGUAUGACAAGGUGACCGGCUAUACCAGAGUCUGGAUGACAAGGCUGACAAGUCUCACAUCGACUG
RNAcentral lists this long non-coding RNA (308 nucleotides) under Ananas comosus (pineapple). Its description in RNAcentral is "long non-coding RNA (ACOM_LNC041243)". The record is from RNAcentral. Lineage: Eukaryota; Viridiplantae; Streptophyta; Magnoliopsida; Poales; Bromeliaceae.